GCUGGGCGUGGUGGCGCGUGCCUGUAGUCCCAGCCACUCGGGAGGCUGAGGCAGAAGAAUCACUUGAACCCAGGAGGCAGAGGCUGCAGUAAGCCAAGAUUGCGCCACUGCACUCCAGCCUGGGCAACAGAGUGAGACUCUGUCUCAA
Molecule: unclassified non-coding RNA, 148 nt
Organism: Pongo abelii (Sumatran orangutan)
Lineage: Eukaryota; Metazoa; Chordata; Mammalia; Primates; Hominidae
Rfam family: Metazoan signal recognition particle RNA
About the family: The signal recognition particle (SRP) is a universally conserved ribonucleoprotein.
Source: Ensembl